GUCUAUGGCCAUGCCACCCUGAACAAGCCCGAUGUCUGAUCUCGGAAGCUAAGCAGGGUCGGGCCUGGUUACUUCUUGGAUGGGAGACCACCUAGGAUAACCAGGUGCUAUAGGCU
Molecule: ribosomal RNA, 116 nt
Filed under: Pteropus alecto (black flying fox)
Lineage: Eukaryota; Metazoa; Chordata; Mammalia; Chiroptera; Pteropodidae
Source: RNAcentral